Delphinapterus leucas (beluga whale) is the source of this 2120-nucleotide non-coding RNA. The record is from RefSeq and is a predicted model, not a curated record. Lineage: Eukaryota; Metazoa; Chordata; Mammalia; Artiodactyla; Monodontidae.
GCCCGGCGGCGCGCAGAGGCUACAAGUGCUGCGGCUUGUGAGCGGGGUACUUUCCCGAGGAGCCGCGCAAGGACAAGCGCGCGGUGCUCGAGCCUCGCUGGGUGGCCAAGGCAGGAGGAAACCUGCCUUCUCGUUUGAGGGAUCCUGUCACCGAAAUGUGUGAGUCCUUGGAUAAAUUUGGCUUGGUGACGGCAAUGCUUUCUUCAGAGACACUGCCACUUCCUCCAUGUUCCUUUUCUACCCUGGCCUAAAUUUCUCAGUGUUAAUCCCUGUGAUAAGUCAGAGGAUUUGCCCUUCUCACACUUUCCCACCACUAGGUAGCCUCUCCUUUCUCUUACCUCUUUUAGGAGGAAUUGGGGCUGAAGUGUCAAGACCUGUGGCUACAAAGGAGAUGAGGGCCUCAGGAGCAAUACUGCUGGUGGUACAGCCUUAGCUCCUGUUGGGUUCUUAUCUAACUGUGUUGCUACUGGCAGACUUUCUGGAAGCUGCUGGGGGAUGUCUGACUAGCUCCAAUGGAGCUCCACUAUCUUGCUAAGAAGAGCAGCCAGGCAGCCCUGUGUGAUGCUGUGGACUGGAGUUCAGGAGGGCUUCCCAGGGACCAGGCAGAUGCAGCAGCCACUAAAGCUGCUCUCUGCUGCCAGAGACAUUGUACGUGGACACCAAGAGCACCAGAGAGGGAAGGGUCUAAACUUAGCCCUUCUCCAGCAUCCCCUCCCCCCUCACUGCAAGACACUGCUAUUCAGCUAGACUUCUUGCCACCAGGGCUUCUCAACUCAGGGAACAACCAAAUAACAGCAGAACAGAAAGUCUGUGACUGCUGUAGCCAGGAAUUAGAAACCUCUUUUACCUAUGAGGAUGAGAAUAUCAACCUGGAGCAAAGGAACCGGCGUUCCCCUUCAGCAAAAGGGAGUAAGCACCUGGGAGACCUUGGCUGGGGAAAUCCAAAUGAGUGGUCCCCCGAGGCUCCCAUAUCGCUGAUAUCCGAAGAUGAAGAUGAUGCAAGCUCGGAAGCCACCUCUUCAGGGAAGUCAGUAGACUAUGGUUUCAUAAGCGCCAUCUUGUUCUUGGUCACUGGCAUCUUGCUGGUGAUCAUCUCUUACGUUGUCCCACGGGAUGUGACUGUGGAUCCCAACACUGUGCCGGCCCGGGAGAUGGAACGUCUGGAGAAGGAGAGCGCGAGGCUGGGGGCUCACCUAGACCGCUGUGUGAUUGCCGGCCUCUGCCUUCUCACCCUUGGGGGGGUCGUUCUUUCCUGUUUGCUAAUGAUGUCCAUGUGGAAGGGGGAGCUAUAUCGGCGUGACAGGUUUGCCUCUUCCAAAGAGUCUGCGAAACUCUACGGUUCAUUCAACUUCAGGAUGAAAACCAGCACUAAUGCAAACACCCUGGAGCUGUCCUUGGUAGAGGAAGAUGCUCUCGCUGUACAGAGUUAAUUCUGGUUGUGAACUUCUUGAGAGUCUGCCUUGGCAUUUUAUAUGAACAGAACAAAGCAAAGCAAAACAAAACACAACACAUUUCUUAAAAUUAACAGUGCAGUUUAUUUGCCUGGCGAGGAAAGUCUAUUUCCCAAACGAACAGCCAACAUGAAUAAGUCGACUGAGGAAAAUAUAGUAGAAAGAAGAAUUCGUCAGCACAUUGUCAGGUAAGUAUAAGGAUUACACCAUAUAAAUAGCUACGAUGAAUAAUUUAUUUGAUAGAUAGAUGGCAUCAUUUGGUCUGAACUGUACUUCAACAGUUUUCCUUCCUCUUCUUUUAGGGCUUUUAUGAGUUUAGGUUUUGUGUCAGAAUAUACGUCAGUGGAAAAAGAAAUACCUGUUUAACAAUUAAAAAAUAUUCUUAUUUGCCAAGAGGCCUAUAGUUAUUCUGAGAAGUUGGUUUUACUGUUGUUGAUUUCUAUCCAAUUGCAAAAGAAAAACAGAUUAGUAGGAAAAUUACUAAUUUAUUUUCUCACUGUGCUAAACCAUCCUGGUUUUAAAAAAGGAAUGGCCCACUUUGUAGCUUGUUACUCACAGACUGAACUUCUUCCUGCUCAGGGAGAGUGAGUGGAAAGUAAAACUACUCUAUAUGAUAAAUACAAGGAACUUUAGAGUUGGAUAUAGGCAUCUAGGGAGAAAAGAGAAGGA